Long non-coding RNA from Tupaia belangeri chinensis (Chinese tree shrew), 1531 nucleotides. RefSeq lists it as uncharacterized. The record is from RefSeq and is a predicted model, not a curated record. Lineage: Eukaryota; Metazoa; Chordata; Mammalia; Scandentia; Tupaiidae. The transcript has 3 exons.
AGGCAGCAUGGCAGGACCCUCGCCUCUUCGAUUCUUCCCAUUGCAAAUAAAAUAACAAAGAGAAAAAAAUAAAACCUGAGUGAAGACGGGAUGGGAGAGGUCUGUGCUCAGGCUGCAGCACUACUGAAACUGUACUGGCUACUUCCUGUGAUGUUACCGUCUUUCUGAGUCCAUGGACGGUCACACUGUGGGAAUUAUGAAGUGGUGGGGAUGAUGCCCGGAGAAGGUGGGAAACCGAGAGCCUGCCGAACUGAAGUCUCAUUCUACCCUUUCCUGUUUUCACCGCACACCCACAUGAGUGACUGGAUUUUUCACAUGUCAUCCACAUUUUUUUGUACUUUGAAGACACAGCCUGUCGGCCAGACUUCCCGCAUUCGGGUGUUGGUGGCGCUGGGCCAAGCACUCUAUCUGCAUGUGUGUACUGAAUGUCACAAAACACACAGCAAGAGAUGGGAUCGGCAGCAGCCACGCGGAAGGAUGUGGACCCAGGCUGCAAAGAAGAUCUUUUUCCUUCUGACUUUCUCUGUAAGAAAUACCGUGAUUGACAUCUGGGAAGACCCAGGGGAGAAGGCUGCGCUGUGUGAGACAGGAAGUUUCAGACAAUGGGAAUAAAAAGCCCUAAAGUGUGAGAAUACAAAACGUUCUUCAAGAAAGCUUCAGUCCAGAUAUCUAAUAAUCCGAAAACAUCCUUGUGUUUAAUGUGGAAUAUUUUUAAACAGAAAUCUAAAGCAAGAGAACGUGAAGUAGGUAGAAAACAAAAUGGUUUUCACUUGUACAGACUCCCAGUUCAAACUCAGAUGACCUGUGGUGCCAGGUCCUCCGUUACUUAGUACGGAUGGAGACAUGAAAGAUGUGACCCCUUUUUCCCAAGGGCCUCUGAGAAGCACACUGAAGCCUGGGCCAGUAAACACUCCCAGGAAGUUCAUGGAGCUCAUAUUCCAGUGUCAUACACAGCGGGCUGGAUGGACCUCUUCUUCUACCAGCAUCCCUACCGCCCAACCCCAUGGAUUCUGUGUAGGUCGACAAGUUUUUCUCCUGGCUACUUUUAUUUCAAGUGAGCUCAACUGAUGCAGCACUUACUGAGCCUCUGCAAAGUACAAGGGGCAAUGUGGGGCCUUUCGAGGAGGAGGACUCAAAGGGGGAUAGCUUCCAAAUAUUUUUCUACUGGAUUGUUAUACUUCUGCUUUAUUCCACUAGCAUUCGAGAAAGUUUCUGUGUUGCUUACAGAAGUUUCUGAGACUGGAUAAAUGUAAAAGAGAAAGAGAGAGAUUUGACUCAUGAUUCUGGUCAUGUGGAAGGUCCAAAGGCAUCACAAAAUGGCCACGGGCAGGAUCUGGAGGACAGCUGUCCAUAGGUUUCUGCCCAUUAUGAUCUCCUUUCCCCCUUUAUAAAUGUAUAGCAAAACACAAUCAUAGGGCUCUGCCAUGAUGAUCUUAUCACACCCAAGGACCACACCCUGGGAAACCACGAAGGGCUUUCCACUCAACAUCCUUGCACUACAACCUAGUUCCGACAUAGGAUUUUUUUUUUU